This 100-nucleotide ribosomal RNA is filed under the name Taenia pisiformis. RNAcentral describes it as "partial 28S ribosomal RNA". The stretch from base 35 to 100 matches the Rfam family "Eukaryotic large subunit ribosomal RNA", at positions 1 to 68 of the family's 3401-position model. The record is from RNAcentral. Lineage: Eukaryota; Metazoa; Platyhelminthes; Cestoda; Cyclophyllidea; Taeniidae.
GCUAGCUGGCUGACUGACUGACUGACUGACUGACUGGCCUCGGAUUAGUCGUGAGUACCCGCUGAACUUAAGCAUAUCAAUAAGCGGAGGAAGAAACUAA